CCCAGACUCCUACGGGAGGCAGCAGUGAGGAAUAUUGGUCAAUGGGCGGAAGCCUGAACCAGCCAAGUCGCGUGAGGGAAGAAGGCCCUGCGGGUCGCAGACCUCUUUGGACGGGGAGCAAGGCCGCCGACGUGUCGGCGGAAGGAGAGUACCCGUAGAACAAGCAUCGGCUAACUCCGUGCCAGCAGCCGCGGUAAUACGGAGGUGGCGAGCGUUGUCCGGAAUUACUGGGUGUAAAGGGAGCGUAGGCGGGAGUGCAAGUUGAAUGUAUAAACUAUCGGCUCAACUGAUAGAAGCGUUCAAAACUGCACUUCUUGAGUGAAGUAGAGGCAGGCGGAAUUCCUAGUGUAGCGGUGAAAUGCGUAGAUAUUAGGAGGAACACCAGUGGCGAAGGCGGCCUGCUGGGCUUUAACUGACGCUGAGGCUCGAAAGCGUGGGUAGCAAACAGGAUUAGAUACCCCAGUA
Molecule: ribosomal RNA, 465 nt
Filed under: uncultured bacterium
Lineage: Bacteria
Description: bacterial SSU rRNA
Rfam family: Bacterial small subunit ribosomal RNA
Source: RNAcentral